UACGUAGGCGGAAAAUUAAGUCAGUAGUGAAAUCCUGCAGCUUAACUGUAGAACUGUUAUUGAUACUGGUUUUCUUGAAUAUAGUUGAGGUAGGCGGAAUGUGUAAUGUAGCGGUGAAAUGCUUAGAUGUUACACAGAACACCGAUUGCGAAGGCAGCUUACUAAGCUAUGAUUGACGCUGAGGUACGAAAGCGUGGGGAGCGAACAGGAUUAGAUACCCUGGUAGUCC
This 229-nucleotide ribosomal RNA is filed under the name uncultured bacterium. Its description in RNAcentral is "partial 16S ribosomal RNA". It matches the Rfam family "Bacterial small subunit ribosomal RNA", at positions 568 to 796 of the family's 1533-position model. The record is from RNAcentral.